Molecule: ribosomal RNA, 429 nt
Filed under: Acidobacteriota bacterium
Lineage: Bacteria; Pseudomonadati; Acidobacteriota
Description: Acidobacteria bacterium partial 16S ribosomal RNA
Rfam family: Bacterial small subunit ribosomal RNA
Source: RNAcentral
UGGGGAAUUUUGGACAAUGGGGGAAACCCUGAUCCAGCCAUCCCGCGUGUGCGAUGAAGGCCUUCGGGUUGUAAAGCACUUUUGGCAGGAAAGAAACGUCAUGGGUUAAUACCCCGUGAAACUGACGGUACCUGCAGAAUAAGCACCGGCUAACUACGUGCCAGCAGCCGCGGUAAUACGUAGGGUGCAAGCGUUAAUCGGAAUUACUGGGCGUAAAGCGUGCGCAGGCGGUUCGGAAAGAAAGAUGUAAAAUCCCAGAGCUAAACUUUGGAACUGCAUUUUUAACUACCGGGCUAGAGUGUGUCAGAGGGAGGUGGAAUUCCGCGUGUAGCAGUGAAAUGCGUAGAUAUGCGGAGGAACACCGAUGGCGAAGGCAGCCUCCUGGGAUAACACUGACGCUCAUGCACGAAAGCGUGGGGAGCAAACAGG